Molecule: ribosomal RNA, 492 nt
Filed under: uncultured bacterium
Lineage: Bacteria
Description: partial 16S ribosomal RNA
Rfam family: Bacterial small subunit ribosomal RNA
Source: RNAcentral
AGUGAACGCUGGCGGUAGGCCUAACACAUGCAAGUCGAACGGCAGCACAGUAAGAGCUUGCUCUUACGGGUGGCGAGUGGCGGACGGGUGAGGAAUACAUCGGAAUCUACUUUUUCGUGGGGGAUAACGUAGGGAAACUUACGCUAAUACCGCAUACGACCUACGGGUGAAAGCAGGGGAUCUUCGGACCUUGCGCGAUUGAAUGAGCCGAUGUCGGAUUAGCUAGUUGGCGGGGUAAAGGCCCACCAAGGCGACGAUCCGUAGCUGGUCUGAGAGGAUGAUCAGCCACACUGGAACUGAGAAACGGUCCAGACUCCUAAGGGAGGCAGCAAGGGGGAAUAUUGGACAAUGGGCGCAAGCCUGGUCCAGCCAUACCGCGUGGGUGAAGAAGGCCUUCGGGUUUUAAAGCCCUUUUGUUGGGAAAGAAAAGCAGCAGGUUAAUACCCCGCUGUUCUGACGGUACCCAAAGAAUAAGCACCGGCUAACUUCGUG